UUUACUUUGACACUUUAACAAAAAUAUAAAAAUUUCAAAAAUUUUGAACCAACCAUUUUUUCAGAAAAAUUACACUGGUUAUAUAGCAGUUUGAAAAACACCAAUUUUGAUCAUUGAGAAGCUUAAUAUUCCCUUUACAACACAAUGUAAUUAAGACGUUUAGCUGAUUUUAUAGAGUUAUCUCCCUGUAGUGUUAGGUACCACCUUAACUU
Molecule: long non-coding RNA, 212 nt
Filed under: Mytilus galloprovincialis (Mediterranean mussel)
Lineage: Eukaryota; Metazoa; Mollusca; Bivalvia; Mytilida; Mytilidae
Source: RNAcentral